This 253-nucleotide ribosomal RNA is filed under the name uncultured bacterium. RNAcentral's name for it is "partial 16S ribosomal RNA". It matches the Rfam family "Bacterial small subunit ribosomal RNA", at positions 524 to 776 of the family's 1533-position model. The record is from RNAcentral.
UACGUAGGGCGCAAGCGUUGUCCGGAAUUAUUGGGCGUAAAGAGCUCGUAGGUGGUUUGUCGCGUCUGCCGUGAAAGCCCGGGGCUUAACUCCGGGUCUGCGGUGGAUACGGGCAGACUAGAGGCAGGUAGGGGAGAACGGAAUUCCCGGUGUAGCGGUGAAAUGCGCAGAUAUCGGGAGGAACACCGGUGGCGAAGGCGGUUCUCUGGGCCGAUACUGACGCUGAGACACGAAAGCGUGGGUAGCAAACAGG